UGAGGAAUAUUGGGCAAUGCCCGCAAGGGUGACCCAGCAACGCCGCGUGGAGGAUGAAUGUCGUAAGAUUGUAAACUCCUGUUAGAGGGGAAGAAUAGUACCGGUUGGACCGGUAUAUGACUGUACCCUCAGAGAAAGCCCCGGCUAACUACGUGCCAGCAGCCGCGGUAAUACGUAGUGGGCAAGCGUUGUCCGGAUUUACUGGGUGUAAAGGGCGCGCAGGCGGGAUAAAAAGUCAGUGGUGAAAUCCUACAGCUUAACUGUAGAACUGCCUUUGAUACUUUCAUUCUUGAGUUCGGGAGAGAGAGACGGAAUUCCAGGUGUAGUGGUGAAAUACGUAGAUAUCUGGAAGAACACCAGUUGCGAAGGCGGUCUCUUGGUCCGAUACUGACGCUGAGGCGCGAAAGCGUGGGGAGCAAACA
RNAcentral lists this ribosomal RNA (422 nucleotides) under uncultured bacterium. Its description in RNAcentral is "bacterial SSU rRNA". It matches the Rfam family "Bacterial small subunit ribosomal RNA", at positions 355 to 774 of the family's 1533-position model. The record is from RNAcentral.